GAUGAACGCUAGCUACAGGCUUAACACAUGCAAGUCGAGGGGCAGCAUGAACUUAGCUUGCUAAGUUUGAUGGCGACCGGCGCACGGGUGAGUAACACGUAUCCAACCUUCCGUUUACUCAGGGAUAGCCUUUCGAAAGAAAGAUUAAUACCUGAUAGUAUGGUGAGAUUGCAUGAUAGCACCAUUAAAGAUUUAUUGGUAAACGAUGGGGAUGCGUUCCAUUAGGUAGUAGGCGGGGUAACGGCCCACCAAGGCGACGAUCAGUAGGGGUUCUGAGAGGAAGGUCCCCCACAUUGGAACUGAGACACGGUCCAAACUCCUACGGGAGGCAGCAGUGAGGAAUAUUGGUCAAUGGACGAGAGUCUGAACCAGCCAAGUAGCGUGCAGGAUGACGGCCCUAUGGGUUGUAAACUGCUUUAUAAGGGAUAAAGUGAGUCUCGUGAGGCUUUUUGCAUGUACCUUAUGAAUAAGGACCGGCUAAUUCCGUGCCAGCAGCCGACGG
RNAcentral lists this ribosomal RNA (502 nucleotides) under uncultured bacterium. Its description in RNAcentral is "bacterial SSU rRNA". It matches the Rfam family "Bacterial small subunit ribosomal RNA", at positions 28 to 520 of the family's 1533-position model. The record is from RNAcentral.